RNAcentral lists this ribosomal RNA (249 nucleotides) under uncultured bacterium. RNAcentral's name for it is "partial 16S ribosomal RNA". It matches the Rfam family "Bacterial small subunit ribosomal RNA", at positions 524 to 773 of the family's 1533-position model. The record is from RNAcentral.
UACGAAGGGGGCUAGCGUUGCUCGGAAUUACUGGGCGUAAAGGGCGCGUAGGCGGACAGUUUAGUCAGAGGUGAAAGCCCAGGGCUCAACCUUGGAAAUGCCUUUGAUACUGGCUGUCUUGAGUUCGGGAGAGGUGAGUGGAAUGCCGAGUGUAGAGGUGAAUUCGUAGAUAGUUCGGCGGAACACCAGUGGCGAAGGCGACUCACUGGCCCGAUACUGACGCUGAGGCGCGAAAGCGUGGGAGCAACA